RNAcentral lists this ribosomal RNA (494 nucleotides) under uncultured bacterium. RNAcentral describes it as "partial 16S ribosomal RNA". It matches the Rfam family "Bacterial small subunit ribosomal RNA", at positions 29 to 506 of the family's 1533-position model. The record is from RNAcentral.
AUGAACGCUGGCGGCGUGCCUAAUACAUGCCAGUCGAGCGCACAGAUAAGGAGCUUGCUCCUUUGACGUUAGCGGCGGACGGGUGAGUAACACGUGGGUAACCUACCUAUAAGACUGGGAUAACUUCGGGAAACCGGAGCUAAUACCGGAUAACAUUUGGAACCGCAUGGUUCUAAGUGAAAGAUGGGUUUUGUAUCAAUUAUAGAUGGACCCGCGCCGUAUUAGCUAGUUGGUAAGGUAACGGCUUACCAAGGCAACGAUACGUAGCCGACCUGAGAGGGUGAUCGGCCACACUGGAACUGAGACACGGUCCAGACUCCUACGGGAGGCAGCAGUAGGGAAUCUUCCGCAAUGGGCGAAAGCCUGACGGAGCAACGCCGCGUGAGUGAUGAAGGGUUUCGGCUCGUAAAACUCUGUUAUUAGGGAAGAACAAAUGUGUAAGUAACUGUGCACGUCUUGACGGGACCUAAGCAGAAAGCCACGGCUAACUACGU